This 495-nucleotide ribosomal RNA is filed under the name uncultured bacterium. Its description in RNAcentral is "partial 16S ribosomal RNA". It matches the Rfam family "Bacterial small subunit ribosomal RNA", at positions 28 to 507 of the family's 1533-position model. The record is from RNAcentral.
GACGAACGCUGGCGGCGUGCCUAAUACAUGCAAGUAGAACGCUGAAGGAGGAGCUUGCUUCUCUGGAUGAGUUGCGAACGGGUGAGUAACGCGUAGGUAACCUGCCUGGUAGCGGGGGAUAACUAUUGGAAACGAUAGCUAAUACCGCAUAAGAGUAGAUGUUGCAUGACAUUUGCUUAAAAGGUGCAAUUGCAUCACUACCAGAUGGACCUGCGUUGUAUUAGCUAGUUGGUGGGGUAACGGCUCACCAAGGCGACGAUACAUAGCCGACCUGAGAGGGGGAUCGGCCACACUGGGACUGAGACACGGCCCAGACUACUACGGGAGGCAGCAGUAGGGAAUCUUCGGCAAUGGACGGAAGUCUGACCGAGCAACGCCGCGUGAGUGAAGAAGGUUUUCGGAUCGUAAAGCUCUGUUGUAAGAGAAGAACGAGUGUGAGAGUGGAAAGUUCACACUGUGACGGUAUCUUACCAGAAAGGGACGGCUAACUACGUG